This 329-nucleotide ribosomal RNA is filed under the name uncultured eukaryote. Its description in RNAcentral is "partial 18S ribosomal RNA". It matches the Rfam family "Eukaryotic small subunit ribosomal RNA", at positions 1470 to 1796 of the family's 1831-position model. The record is from RNAcentral.
CCCUUAGAUGUUCUGGGCCGCACGCGCGCUACACUGACUGGUGCAACAAGUGUCGCUCCUUGGCCGAUAGGCCUGGGCAAUCUUUGAACGCCAGUCGUGAUGGGGAUAGAUUCUUGCAAUUUUUGAUCUUCAACGAGGAAUUCCUAGUAAACGCGAGUCAUCAACUCGCAUUGAUUACGUCCCUGCCCUUUGUACACACCGCCCGUCGCACCUACCGAUUGAAUGGUCCGGUGAAUCUUUAGGACUGUGGCUGAGGCCUUGCCUUGUGCGGGUCUGGCCGUGGGAAUUUAGUUAAACCUUACCAUUUAGAGGAAGGUGAAGUCGUAACA